UGGGGAAUAUUGCACAAUGGGCGCAAGCCUGAUGCAGCCAUGCCGCGUGUAUGAAGAAGGCCUUCGGGUUGUAAAGCACUUUCAGCGGGGAGGAAGGCGAUAAGGUUAAUAACCUUGUCGAUUGACGUUACCCGCAGAAGAAGCACCGGCUAACUCCGUGCCAGCAGCCGCGGUAAUACGGAGGGUGCAAGCGUUAAUCGGAAUUACUGGGCGUAAAGCGCACGCAGGCGGUCUGUCAAGUCGGAUGUGAAAACCCCGGGCUUAACCUGGGAACUGCAUUCGAAACUGGGAGGAUAGAGUCUUGUAGAGGGGGGUAGAAUUCCAGGUGUAGCGGUGAAAUGCGUAGAGAUCUGGAGGAAGACCGGUGGCGAAGGCGGCCCCCUGGACAAAGACUGACGCUCAGGUGCGAAAGCGUGGGGAGCAAACAGG
This 429-nucleotide ribosomal RNA is filed under the name Chloroflexota bacterium. RNAcentral's name for it is "Chloroflexi bacterium partial 16S ribosomal RNA". It matches the Rfam family "Bacterial small subunit ribosomal RNA", at positions 355 to 776 of the family's 1533-position model. Lineage: Bacteria; Bacillati; Chloroflexota. The record is from RNAcentral.